CGUGUAGGCGGGUAUAUAAGUCAGAAGUGAAAUCCUAUAGCUUAACUAUAGAACUGCUUUUGAAACUGUAUACCUAGAAUGUGGGAGAGGUAGAUGGAAUUUCUGGUGUAGGGGUAAAAUCCGUAGAGAUCGGAAGGAAUACCGAUUGCGAAGGCGAUCUACUGGAACAUUAUUGACGCUGAGACGCGAAAGCGUGGGGAGCAAACG
Molecule: ribosomal RNA, 207 nt
Filed under: uncultured bacterium
Lineage: Bacteria
Description: partial 16S ribosomal RNA
Rfam family: Bacterial small subunit ribosomal RNA
Source: RNAcentral